This 557-nucleotide long non-coding RNA is filed under the name Homo sapiens (human). RNAcentral's name for it is "HSALNT0377697". Lineage: Eukaryota; Metazoa; Chordata; Mammalia; Primates; Hominidae. The record is from RNAcentral.
CUGUCUGCUGGGAUUCUAGAGAUGGGGCUUUGUUUCCGUGUUCAGAAGACCUGCAUUACAGGGUGGGGGUGGAGAUUUCAUCAGAAAGCAAGUGAAGGCGCCGGCAGUGUUGGUGCUCAACAAGAUUAAUUUCCUACCCACUGCAGGCUCGUCCCAUCUGAAUCAUAGGAUUAGCAGAGCAGGACGCUAAAGACCUUAAGAAGUGCUUUGUUGCUUUAUAUACAAAGUUCUAGAGAAAGAAGAAGAGAGAGCGUGCAGGCGCAGGCGGAAGUUUUAGAAGUGUGGUGGGAGAGACAACUGUGAAAUGGGAAAGAUGCUGAGAAGGAAGCCUCAGAUCGGUGGACAGCCCCAAGAAAGACACGGAGGAGUUACCAGGUGAGGAAACUGAGACCAGAGAAGGAAAAUAACUUGCCGAACGAAGGCUACAAACUUGCAAGUGAUGGGGCCUGGUUGAACUUAAGGUCUUUCUGUUUGGCAAUAGCAUCUCAGUGACAUCCUUGGUUGGAAUAGUUUUAGAAUCAAGGUAAAGAUGGAAGUCAGACCAUGGAGUUCCCAGG